RNA transcript from Chenopodium quinoa (quinoa), 1223 nucleotides. It is a transcript of the gene named 40S ribosomal protein S9-2-like, with no coding region annotated. The transcript has 3 exons. Lineage: Eukaryota; Viridiplantae; Streptophyta; Magnoliopsida; Caryophyllales; Amaranthaceae. The record is from RefSeq and is a predicted model, not a curated record.
AACCCUAAAAUUCUAACUUUAUUUUUCAGCAUCCGUCACUCAUAUCUCUCUCCUCUUGCUCUCCCCUCUUUUUCUCUCUCCUUAGAGAUCUACUUCCUUCAAUGGAGAUUAUCUCUUACUUCACCCUCUCUUCCACCUCUCCUUACCUCCAUUUUCGUUCUGCUCCCUCCAUUAUUGAACCUCUCUUCAUUUUCAGCCUCCAAUUUCACAGCCUAUUUAUACCUUAUUCUAACCCUAAACUUUUAAAGCCAAAUCACCGUUGUACGUUCAGCAAUUCGCUUACGAUUCCGAUGAAGGACAUGAUGCGUACUGAGUUCAUCAUUAAGGCUAAUCGUACCCAAAUGUUCUUGGUGAUUUUCCACUUUUUUGGCUUUCUGAUUUGAUUUGAUUCACUGGUUUGUUAUUAGUUUUUCUCCUCCAUUUCUGCGUUUGGAGCCUCCACUCGUUUCUUCACCACUUACCUUCUGCUUGCCGCUGGCGAGCUGCCAUGGUCCACAUCGUCUAUAUGGGAAGACUUUUAAUAAGCCACAUCGUCCUUACGAGGAAUGAUUGGAUGCUGAAUAUGUGCUUCAUAGCAAGAGAGAGCUCUAGAGGGUUCAAUAUGUUUUAACUUUAUCCGUAAUGCUGCAAGGCAUCUUCUUACUCUGGAUGAGAAGAACCCUCAUCAUAUCUUUGAGGGAGAAGCUCUUUUGAGGAGGAUGAACAAGUGUGGGCUAUUGGAUGAAGGACAGAACAAGCCCGAUAACGUGUUGGCUAUUACCGUUGAGAACUUCUUGGAGAGGUGUCUUCAGACCCUCAUCUUCCAAUCUGGUAUGGCCAAGUCUAUUCACCAUGCUAGGGUGCUCAUCAGGCAGAGGCAUAUUAGGGUUGGGAGACAAGUGGUGAAUGUUCCAUCUUUCAUGGUGAGGGUUGACUCACAGAAGCACAUCGACUUCUUUCUCACUAGUCCCUUCAAAGGAGGCCGUCCAGGUAGAGUAAAGCGAAAGAACUAGAAGGCAGUAGCAAAGAAGGCUGUCGGUGGUGAUGGUGACAAGGAAGAUGAAGACUGAGCUAUACCCAUGAACUUUGAUGAUUGUAUAAAAUUAGCCACAGGCGUAUUUUUUUAGCACGAGAAUUUUUUUAGUUUUAAUUAUUCGGUGAUAAUGAACUUUAAUGAUUGUAUAUGAGAUUUUCUACUAUACCAUACUUUUAUAAAACAUAAUUUAUCUCAUUAAUUGAUAAAA